Molecule: non-coding RNA, 966 nt
Organism: Dasypus novemcinctus (nine-banded armadillo)
Lineage: Eukaryota; Metazoa; Chordata; Mammalia; Cingulata; Dasypodidae
Source: Ensembl
CACAGGUCUGGUCCUAGCCUUACUAUUAAUUCAUAACAAAAUUACACAUGCAAGUAUCAGCACACCAGUGAGAAUGCCCUCUAACUCUUAUAGAUCAAAAGGAGCAAGCAUCAAGUACACACAGCCCUUACAGUAGCUCAUAACGCUUUGCUCAACCACACCCCCACGGGAUACAGCAGUGAUAAAAAUUAAGCAAUAAGCGAAAGCUUGACUAAGUUAUGUUAUUAUAAGGGUUGGUAAAUUUCGUGCCAGCAACCGCGGUCAUACGAUUAACCCAAAUUAAUAGUUAUCGGCGUAAAGCGUGUUUAAGACACCUAGACAAUAGAGUUAAACCCUUACUACGCUGUAAAAAGCCUUAGUAGGACCAUAAACCCUUCAACGAAAGUGACUCUAAUUUAUCUGACUACACGAUAGCUAGGACCCAAACUGGGAUUAGAUACCCCACUAUGCCUAGCCCUAAACUAAAACAGUUCACAAACAAAACUGUUCGCCAGAGUACUACUAGCAACAGCUUAAAACUCAAAGGACUUGGCGGUGCUUUACAUCCUUCUAGAGGAGCCUGUUCUAUAAUCGAUAAACCCCGAUAUACCUCACCACCCCUUGCUAAUACAGCCUAUAUACCGCCAUCUUCAGCAGACCCUAGUAAGGCACCACAGUGAGCACAAUAACAUACAUAAAGACGUUAGGUCAAGGUGUAGCUUAUGGGGUGGGAAGAAAUGGGCUACAUUUUCUAAUAAAGAGCAAAUACAAAAAACUUAAUGAAACAAUUUAAGACUAAGGUGGAUUUAGUAGUAAGCUAAAAAUAGAGAGUUUAGCUGAACCAGGCCAUAAAGCACGCACACACCGCCCGUCACCCUCUUCAAUUAUAAGCGCCACAUAAACUAAAACACAUUAAUUCAGUAGCAACUAUAUAAGAAGAGACAAGUCGUAACAAGGUAAACAUACUGGAAAGUGUGUUUGGAUAAC